UACCCAAUUCGGCGAUAACUCCGCACUCGUUCGUCGGAUCGGCAAACCGUCUUCGCCGACGCGUUCCGAGACCUAGCAAUUAGGUUUAUGACCUAUUAAAAUAGAUCAAAACCCUAGAUUUCCCAAAAUCCCAAUCCGUGCCCUAGAAUGGCAACGGGGAAGAAAUCCGUGGUGCGAGCUUCAAUUGCGAGCUCGAACCUUCUAUUUAUCUCCUCUAGGUUCCAUUUGAACCAAUUCUAAGCAACAAAAUCCAACCCUAAAAAUUCUACCAUGAGUGGGUUUGGAGCUCACCUCUAAGCCAAGCUCAAAGCUUGCCCUAGCUUGAAGGAGAGAGGGAAGAAGACCUUCUUCCUCUUCUUCUUGGACUUCUCCUUCCUCUUCUUCUUUUCUUUCUGUAAUAUACUGAAUCUGGGCCUAUUGACAAGUUCAAGGGUUGCAAUGGCUAUUGGAACUGAGCUACGACGUUUGAUAGACCUUAGAAAGGUUUUGACACGUUACUGAAGUAAGAAAGUAACUGGAAUUGGAAAAUUGCAUCGUAAAUGCCUUAUCAAUUGCAAUGCUUCGAAAUUGGUUAAUUGCGAAGUUCGAAUGCGGGAAAUGGUAAGUGGAACUACCCUACAUCCUCUAAAGGGCUUAGACAAGUUUUUGGACAAGUUAGAGAGUGAUUGAAGGGUUAAAAGCAAGAAAGUGCAUUGAAUGGACGAAAUCAGCAUUUUUUUCUGCUUGCUGUACCGGUACAGCCAUUACCUUGUACCGGUACAGACUGGCAGAAACGUGGCAGCAAGGGUUUUUGGUCAUUUCACAUCUUAAUCCCUAUCUACUUGACCCAGCACGACCUGGGAUGCUCAGUGAAGGUUGCUUGAGUUCAGAGAAGCUUCUUUCACCUUCUCUCUUUCUCUCUCUCUAGGGUUUUUCUCUCUCUAGAGAAAAGCCGCCGAUUCGCGCCGUUUUCGCGCCGCGCUCGUUGUUUGCUGAUUGGAGGACUCAAGGGAAGUCUUUGGCACGUGGGGAGAAGGAGUUUUGCUGUGUUUUCUGGGAGGUUACUACCAGGGGAAGCUGAUUCUCAGCUUUAGAGAGGUAUUCAACUCGAUUUCUCUCUAGUUUCCGGUUUAGUAUUGAUUUUGGACGCCGUUUAGUCUCGCUGCCUCCAACUGAGCUAGAACUUGUUUAUAGCAGUUAAGAGAAGUUAUUUUGACUGUGAAUUACCUACUUUAGCUCAGAGGAAAGUUGUUUUAAAGCUUGAUAAAGAUAAGUAGUGAAUUAUGACUCUAAUUCAAGCUAUAUACGGAUUUAUCGAGCGAAUUGAUGCAGUUUGAACCUUUCUCUUCGCAGCAGGUUUGCGAAUCAUAUUAGGCUAUUUUAGUGGCCUUGGGGGCUGGUUUAGAAGGUGUUGCAACCAGGGGUAAGUUGAAUUUUCAGUUCGGAAACUAAAUUCGCGAACUUUUGAUUAUAUUAACUUGUAUCUAAGCGUUUUGAUGCCGUUUUGGCGAUUGUUCGCAGCGAGCUUGCGAUUGACCUUCGGAUUAUCUCCGGCUGUGAUGUGAGAGCUUUUGGCGGCUAAACUUGAGGUAUUGAACUGAGCCCAAACAGGAAUUUAAGUUAUUACUUUGUACUACGUACAAUGUGUGCCGAAAUUGGACAUUUCGGUCGUAGCUUGAUGCGCCUUCCGUGUUUUGUUUUCAGCAGAGUUGGGGCUCCGCUGAGCUGAGUUCGGGACUUCUAUUGGCUGGAUUGAGCUUGGGGAUAGGUGGGUCGGACCUUCCCAAAAUGGGUGAAUUCCCUCUAUGUCUCCUUUGACAUCUGAGUUGAAGUUAUUCCUUAUUCAUGUGAAUAUAUGUAUAGUUCAUGCAACAUGCAUUGAAGUGUAGAUCACAUCAGAUAUGAUAAACAGUAAUGAAAGAUUCGUGACUUGUUCACUCUAUAUGGUUACAUGUUGUUAAAGUACUACGUGUUCAUGAUAUUAGUAGCUUGCAUAUGCAGUGUUAGCUUGAUGUUAUCCAAAAAAAGGAGAUAAUGAUAAAGUCGUAAAUGGACUAAUUAGCUCUGUUAAACAACAAUGAGAUUGAUGCAUUUAGGAUUGGGCUAUGCACUGUUAUAUAGCAAGUAUGAUUGCUAUACUCUGAAAGAUCAGGUAAAGGCCUUUGAUUGCAUAUGUAUUUUUAAUUGUAGAAGGAAUGGCAUAGAGAUCAUGUGAAGAGUAGUUUAUCGCUUAUGCUUUCACAUGAUAGACUUGUAUUAUGAUAUAUGUUCAAGUAAGUAAUUAGAAUCUCAUAAGAUGGCACGACUUGGAUGAUUAUUCAACUGAGUAUAAUCUAGUAAAUAACUAGAUUUGGAUCUGAUAACAUACUUGUAUAGUCAAGUAGAGAUUUAUAUUGGACUACAGGAUAUGUGCCAUGAGUCUUUGAUCAGAACAUUAGUAAACCACUUUCCUUAUGUGUAAGGGGUAGUGAGAGAUUGUGAAUAACUGACCAGGUAUAGCCUGAUAGAAUCACUAGCGUGAUGUGAAGCCGUAACUUGUCAAGUUAUACUAAUUAUUGGUAGAAUCAUAUCAACAAGUUGUUGAUAGUGACUUAUGAUUGGGUACUACAGUGUCGACCUUGGGUCGAGUUGAGAUUCCAUGUCAGAGACAUGAUGCUGUUGAGAUAUUUGUACCCUGGACUAUAGCCAGCAUGCCAUUAUGCUCUUUCGUACAUGCUUGCGGGGGUCGCGCCCCCCCAAGCCCCGCGUUCCGGAGUGGCUUGAGUUGAGAUUCCAUGUCAGGGACAUGAUGUUGUUGUGAGACUGGUACUGUGGACUACGGCUUGCAUGCCAUUGUGCGCGUUCGCACACGCUUGCGGGGUCGCUCCCCCCCAAGCCAGCACUCCCGAACAGCUUAGCGACAGAUGCUCGCAAAUGUACGAAGUGAGCGCCGAAAUGGAAUGCCGUGGGGGAGGCUCAUUCCUAGAGUGGGGAUGUUGACUACCACGGGGCCAUUAGGCACGGCGCGGCUCGAACUUACCUUGUGUAAGUCCGUUGGAAAUUGGGUUAUGUCAAGUACUUUAACCUUAGCUGGACAGAGUAGUAAAGUUACUAUAUGUCUUGGGUUAAGUAAACCUAUUGAUGAAUAGACUAGAAGGUUGACAUCUAAAGUGAGCUUAGUACUGAAUGACCUAGAAGUUGACAUCAUGAUUGGUUAGCGACAUAAAGAAAGUUUCAUUCUUGCUAAUGUAGAAAGUAAUUACAUGAUAUUAUCUGUAAUUCCAGUAAUAAUGAAUUAGCUUGCUUGCAAUCUGGUAUAUGUUUGGUUAAAUUGUCAAGGAAUAUGAUUGAUGGAAUCUAUCAUGAUAAUUGAUACCUGCAAUCUGUUGAUGUACAUUUAUUGUUGAGCAAAUAGCAUGAGUAGUCUACUUUCAUAUCUGUUGCAUGUAAUUGCUUAUUGUAUUAUCUGCAUUUACUUGGUUAUUUAUUGCUUUCUACUCAUGCCACAGUUGACCCAGUGGUGUAUUUCGCCACUCUCGGCGGCUUACCCACUGGGAACUAUUGUUUAAUAGUUCUCACGCCCUCUUUGUUGUUGUUUUUACAGAGCCUUCCACCGCGGGAAAUGCUAGGGUUCUUGGCAAGGGGUCUGCGGCUAACUAGAGCCUUUUUGGACGUGUACUAGAUGACCUCCACCAGUUUAUGUAGUUUAGUACAGAGAUGUAUAUUAAGUUUUUGUAAAUUGUACUGUAUUCUUAUUUCCUGUAGUAAGGUUUGGAUUGUAUAAGUUUAACUUACAAGUCUUGCUCUGAUUACCUGGCUAGAAUUAUAUGCUUUUACUAUAUGGUUUGUAGACGCCUUGUGUAUACUUGAGUUGUGGUGUACACGGCGGGUCUGUGCACGCGACCGGAUAUGCUUCCGCUGGUACCCGGGCGUGACACUUUCCUUUCUUUCUUCUUCUUCUUCUUCCCCUUCGUUUCUUUCUAGAGAGAGAGAGGGAAAGAGUGUGAAAGAGGGAGAGAGAGAGAGCAGCUGAGAGGGAAGGAGAGGGGUCCCCCACCUCUAAUAAGGCCAUUUUGCAACUAGCCCCCUCAACUUUUCAUCUUCUGAUUCAGCCCUCUCUGGGCAUUUUCGCAGCGAGGGACCGGUCCCAGUUCGGGAAGACCGGUCCCCGAAGGCUGCCCUUUCGAGCAGAGGGGAUUUCGCGUUCGGGAACCGGUCCUUACCUGAGAGACCGGUCCCCGGGAGACCGGUCCUUGUCCGAGAGACCGGUUCCCGAGAGCUGCAUCCUCGGGACUUAGCCAAAUUUGGCUAAGUCUCGCCGGGCCAACGUUCGGGAACCAGUCCCUGCCCACCAGGGACCGGUCUCAUCAGAGACCUCCACAACCCAGCCUGAUGGGACCGGUCCCUCCCUGCCAGGGACCGGUCCCCGAGAGCAUUUCUGCUCCAGUGCAAGUUUUGCACUGGUGCUCUCGCGGACCUCUCCUUAAUGCACUUUAUGCAUUAUAAACACCUUCGGACUUCCCGAAGCCUACUCACUCGACGAAUAGUCGAUUCUGGUCGAAGUCUAAUCCUCGAGUUUCGAGAAUUCACUUCCUUACAUCCUUCCCACCUUACAAGAGUUUCGUCCUCGAAACGACUCAACACUACCAAUUUAAUUAGAAUUUCAA
Molecule: long non-coding RNA, 4625 nt
Filed under: Ananas comosus (pineapple)
Lineage: Eukaryota; Viridiplantae; Streptophyta; Magnoliopsida; Poales; Bromeliaceae
Description: long non-coding RNA (ACOM_LNC040225)
Source: RNAcentral